This 358-nucleotide ribosomal RNA is filed under the name Salmonella enterica subsp. enterica serovar Worthington str. BCH-3008. Its description in RNAcentral is "bacterial SSU rRNA". It matches the Rfam family "Bacterial small subunit ribosomal RNA", at positions 884 to 1242 of the family's 1533-position model. The record is from RNAcentral. Lineage: Bacteria; Pseudomonadati; Pseudomonadota; Gammaproteobacteria; Enterobacterales; Enterobacteriaceae.
GGCCGCAAGGUUAAAACUCAAAUGAAUUGACGGGGGCCCGCACAAGCGGUGGAGCAUGUGGUUUAAUUCGAUGCAACGCGAAGAACCUUACCUGGUCUUGACAUCCACAGAAGAAUCCAGAGAUGGAUUUGUGCCUUCGGGAACUGUGAGACAGGUGCUGCAUGGCUGUCGUCAGCUCGUGUUGUGAAAUGUUGGGUUAAGUCCCGCAACGAGCGCAACCCUUAUCCUUUGUUGCCAGCGGUUAGGCCGGGAACUCAAAGGAGACUGCCAGUGAUAAACUGGAGGAAGGUGGGGAUGACGUCAAGUCAUCAUGGCCCUUACGACCAGGGCUACACACGUGCUACAAUGGCGCAUACAA